Molecule: ribosomal RNA, 1394 nt
Filed under: uncultured Lactobacillus sp.
Lineage: Bacteria; Bacillati; Bacillota; Bacilli; Lactobacillales; Lactobacillaceae
Description: bacterial SSU rRNA
Rfam family: Bacterial small subunit ribosomal RNA
Source: RNAcentral
UUGAUCCUGGCUCAGGACGAACGCUGGCGGCGUGCCUAAUACAUGCAAGUCGAGCGAGCCGAACUAAUUGAUUACCUUCGGGUAUGAAGUUAGGGAAGCGAGCGGCGGAUGGGUGAGUAACACGUGGGUAACCUACCCUAUAGUCUGGGAUACCACUUGGAAACAGGUGCUAAUACCGGAUAAAAGGAGAGAUCACAUGAUUUCUUUUUGAAAGGCGGCGUAAGCUGUCGCUAAAGGAUGGACCCGCGGUGCAUUAGCUAGUUGGUAAGGUAACGGCUUACCAAGGCAACGAUGCAUAGCCGAGUUGAGAGACUGAUCGGCCACAUUGGGACUGAGACACGGCCCAAACUCCUACGGGAGGCAGCAGUAGGGAAUCUUCCACAAUGGACGCAAGUCUGAUGGAGCAACGCCGCGUGAGUGAAGAAGGUUUUCCGGGAUUCGUAAAAGGCUCUUUUUGUUGGGUGAAGAAAGAUUAGUGAAGAGGUAACUGCUCCAUUAUUUGCCCGGUAUUCAACCCAGAAAGUCACGGCUAACUACGUGCCCAGCAGCCGCGGUAAUACGUAGGUGGCAAGCGUUGUCCGGGAUUUAUUGGGCGUAAAGCGAGCGCAGGCGGAAAGAUAAGUCAGAUGUGAAAGCCCUCGGCUUAACCGAGGAAUAGCAUCGGAAACUGUCUUUCUUGAGUGCAGAAGAGGAGAGUGGAACUCCAUGUGUAGCGGUGGAAUGCGUAGAUAUAUGGAAGAACACCAGUGGCGAAGGCGGCUCUCUGGUCUGUAACUGACGCUGAGGCUCGAAAGCAUGGGUAGCGAACAGGAUUAGAUACCCUGGUAGUCCAUGCUGUAAACGAUGAGUGCUAAGUGUUGGGAGGUUUCCGCCUCUCAGUGCUGCAGCUAACGCAUUAAGCACUCCGCCUGGGGAGUACGACCGCAAGGUCAAAACUCAAAGGAAUUGACGGGGGCCCGCACAAGCGGUGGGAGCAUGUGGUUUAAUUCGAAGCAACGCGAAGAACCUUACCAGGUCUUGACAAUCUAGUGCCAACCUAAGAGAGAUUAGGCGUUCCCUUCGGGGGACACACUAAACAGGUGGUGCAUGGCUGUCGUCAGCUCGUGUCGUGAGAUGUUGGGUUAAGUCCCGCAACGAGCGCAACCCUUAUUAUUAGUUGCCAGCAUUAAGUUGGGCACUCUAAUGAGACUGCCGGUGACAAACCGGAGGAAGGUGGGGAUGACGUCAAGUCAUCAUGCCCCUUAUGACCUGGGCUACACACGUGCUACAAUGGGCAGUACAACGAGGAGCGAACUUGUGAAGGCAAGCGAAUCUCUGAAAGCUGUUCUCAGUUCGGACUGUAGGCUGCAACUCGCCUACACGAAGCUGGAAUCGCUAGUAAUCGCGGAUCAGCA